RNA transcript from Mus musculus (house mouse), 4112 nucleotides. It is a transcript of the gene named Ras association and DIL domains, with no coding region annotated. The transcript has 15 exons. Lineage: Eukaryota; Metazoa; Chordata; Mammalia; Rodentia; Muridae. The record is from RefSeq and is marked validated.
CCCAGAGGCCCCGCCCCUUCGGAGGCCUCGCCCUGUCCGUUGCGCGGCCGGCAGGAGGCGCUUCGAGCCGGGCGCCAGCUCGGCUAACGGCGGGCGUGGGAGCCGCGCGCGGGGGACGCAGCUGACAGGCUGCGCUGAGGCUCCAGCCUUCCCCCAGCCACUGGUUGAAAUCCUCAGUGGUUAUUCAUGAAGACGCACCCACCAUGUUUUAUGGGACUCAGUUGAUCAUGUCUCCUCCCACCAAGAAUAAGCUGAAGCGACAGAGCCAGCUCCUAUCCACAAUGCUGUCCCGGACACUGAGCUACAAGUAUCGUGACCUGGAUUCCACCUUCUGCAGCCUAGGUGCCAGUGACGACCCCUCAGAGCUCUCCACGCAGCUCUCGGCCCCCGGGGUCCUCAAGGUGUUUGGGGACAGUGUCUGUACAGGCACCCACUAUAAGAGUGUCUUGGCCACUGGCUCCUCCAGUGCCCAGGAGCUGGUGAAAGAGGCACUGGAGCGCUAUGCCCUGGACCCUGAGUGUGCUGGCCAGUACGUGCUAUGUGAUGUUGUGGGCCAAGCUGGGGACUCUGGGCAGCGGUGGCAGGCCCAGUGCUUCCGAGUAUUUGGCGACAAUGAGAAGCCCCUCUUGAUCCAGGAGUUAUGGAAACCCCGAGAAGGCUUGUCCCGGAGGUUUGAGCUAAGGAAGAAGUCAGAUGUGGAAGAGCUUGCAUCGAGGGAUGUGGAUACCACCACCGCAGGGAUAAACGCCCAAGCCCGGAGGCUACAGCGUAUCCGUGCCAAGGGAACCCCAGCCCUCACCUCUGAAGCUGCUCAAAGCUCCCCACCGACCAGGCUGCGCCGUACAGUCAGCGAGACCAGCCUAAGCCCAGCACCAUCGCUACCUGAGGCUGCUCAGAGGCCUGAGGAGCCCGUCCCUGAGGCCAUGCGUUACUCGCUGUACCAGUGCCCGCACCUGCUGCUGUUGCAGGGCUACAGCCAGCAGCACGCACCAAACCAGGGCUGUCACUGACCUUAGCCCUCAUUGGAUCUUGGAGCCAGACCACUUCUCAGCUUGUAUCUCAGGUCUUUGAAGUAGGACAGCCUGGUGUACGUGCUCAGCAAGGAACGGCACACAGUGGGCCAGCGCACACCGUCUAGCAAACCCAGCAUCAGCUUGUCUGCCCCAGACAUCCUGCCCCUGCACUGUACCAUUCGCCGCCAUCAGUCCCCAGAGGGUGGCCCGGCAGGGACCAGGCUAGUGCUGGAGCCCAUCACAGGGGCUUCGGUGUCAGUCAACUUCUCAGAAGUGGGAAGGAACCCUGUGGUGCUACAACAUGGCGACCUGCUCUCCCUGGGUCUCUAUUACCUGCUGCUGUUCAAGGACCCUGGGCAGGCACAGCCACUGCCUGCUUGUGCCCUCGCCCGUCUUGGGGCGGCACCACAGAGCUGUAGAAUGUGUGGUGCGGUGCUCAGAGCCCGUGGGGCCCCUUCCUUGCCUGCUGCUGUGGUCCGGCGGCGGUCACUGCUCCUGGAGUUUGAGCCCGAUGUGGAGGACACACUGCUGCAGAGGAUCAUGACACUGAUUGAGCCUGGGGGUGACGACCACAAGCUGACACCUGCCUUCCUCCUCUGCCUCUGCAUCCAGCACUCCGCCAUGCACUUCCAGCCGGGUACCUUCAGGCAUCUCCUGCUCAAGAUCUCCAAAAGGGUCCGAGACACUGUCUGGGAGAAGACCAAAGAACUAGCGGAAAAGCAGGCACAACUCCAGGAGCCCAUCUCCUGGGCCAGCUUCCCCAUGGCCGACCUGGUUCCCGACCUGCAGCACAUCCUGUUUUGGAUGUCAAACUCCAUCGAGCUCCUGUACUUCAUCCAGCAGAAGUCCCCGCUGUACGUGCAGAGCAUGGAGGAGGAGCUGGACGUCACAGGCUCCAAGGAGUCGCUGUUCUCCUGCACACUGACGGCCAGCGAGGAGGCCAUGGCUGCCCUGGAGGAGGUGGUGCUCUAUGCUUUCCAGCAGUGCGUGUAUUACCUCUCCAAGUGCUUGUAUGUCUGCCUCCCGGCCCUCUUGGAAUGCCCCCCAUUUCAGACAGAGCGCAGGGAGAGCUGGCGCUCAGGUCCAGCUCUGCCCGAGGAGCUUCGGCGAGUGGUGUCAGUGUUCCAGGCCACCUUGGACCUCCUGCAGCAGCUGCAGAUGCAUCCUGAGGUGGCCUCCCAGAUGCUGGCUUAUCUCUUCUUCUUCUCUGGCACACUGCUCCUCAACCAGGUCCUAGACAAGGGGCCCUCUCUGAGUUGCUUCCAUUGGCCCAGGGGUGUGCAGGUGUGUGCCCGCCUGCAGCAGUUCCUGGAGUGGGCCCGGAGUGCUGGCCUUGGAGCACCUGCUGAGCGCUUCUUCCGGAAGCUUUCCUGCACCCUGCAUCUGCUGGCCACUCCCAGGGCUCAGCUCAUCCAGAUGAGCUGGGCCACCCUGAGGGUCACAUUCCCUGCCCUGAACCCUGCUCAGCUGCACCGGCUUCUGACUCAGUACCAGCUGGCCUCUGCCAUGGGCCCUGUGAGCGCUUGGGAGCCAGGAGCCCCAGACGGCCCGGAGGCCUUCCAGUCAGAGGACAUCCUGGAGUCCUAUGAAAACCCGCCGCCCAUUGUUCUGCCGAGCCAGGGCUUCCAGGUAGACCUGGAAGCCGACUGCGUGGAGGACAGCAUCUACCAGCACCUGCUCUACAUCCGCCACUUCCUGUGGGGGCUGCGGGGCCAAGCCAGCCCUGACAGUGGGCCUGCCCAGCCCGAGAGCAUCGAGGGCCUGUACCACACAAUUCCUGAGGGCCAUCUGGAAGGCCAUGGCUGCCCCCUGGCCAAUAGGGACCCAGGCAGAGUUGCUGUUGAAACUGCCCCUCCCCAUUCUCUUCCUGUCACGGGAGCUCCCCGGGCUCAGGGUCCCCCUGGAAGACAGCCUACCCGAGGGGACCGCAGGGGCUCCCAGGCUGGCUCUCUGCACACUGACUCCUCCUGCAUGCUCACUCCGCCCAGCACGCCACUGGGCCUGGAGCCUGCAGGCCCCAGCUGGCCAGAGCCCAGCGGCCUCUGUGGAAGAGCAGUCCUUGACGGGCAGAGGAAUGGGCCAGGUGGUCUGCCUGGUGCAGUCCUAGAAGGAGAUGCGAUUCAGGAUGCUGAGCCUCCUGCUGAGGCCUCCAGCCCCAGCUCCAGCGCUGAGGACUUCUGCUACGUGUUCAUGGUGGAGCUGGAGCGAGGCCCCUCGGGGCUGGGAAUGGGCCUGAUUGAUGGGAUGGUGAGGACCCUGGGGCCUCAGCCCUCUACCCCUCCCACCCCCACCCCUUGUUUUUGCAGACUCAUCCUCUACAGUGUGAGCACAGUCGAGGCCAGUGAGCGAUGCCCUGACUGCCUCAUGGGCCUGCCUUUAGGAGCACUGAUGGAGCCCAGUGCUUUCCCAUGGAACAUACCUGGAUCUGGCUAGGUCCAGGCAUGGGCCCCACAAGUUCACAGGGAGGCUUGGGGCUGGGGUACAAGGCCUUUUCUGGGGAGAGCAUGUGUCAGCACCAGCAGCAUCUUGAGGCCCCUGCUUCUUCCCAGCACACACCUCUGGGGGCCCAGGGACUCUACAUACAGACCCUGCUUCCCGGGAGCCCCGCGGCAUCUGAUGGGCGGCUGUCACUCGGAGACCAAAUCCUGGAGGUGAAUGGCAGCAGCCUGAGGGGUGUCAGCUACAUGAGGGCAGUGGAUUUGAUCCGACAUGGAGGCAAGAAGAUGCGAUUUUUAGUUGCCAAGUCUGACAUGGAAACGGCCAAGAAAAUCCGCUUCCGCAAUCCCCCUUCCUAAUAGACCAAAGGACCCUUGUCCCCACCACCUGUUUCCUGUAUCCUCUCCAGGUGCCACCAACAGCCACCACGGCACUCACCCUGCCCCUCACACCCCAGUCCAGCCAAUCCUGGUUUUUAAAGUUGACUGAGUGAGUCCCUAUGUUGUGGCCUCACGUUGAGGACACCUUUGACAGUGUGCAUCUUAGUGUAUAUUUAUUUAUAUGACAGAUGACACUAAGUUGUGACAUUUCCUACAGAGCUUUUAUGUUUAAAGACUUUAAUGGAGAGUUUAGAUUCAAUAAACUAUCUUUUGUAUUCUUAUA